RNAcentral lists this long non-coding RNA (1205 nucleotides) under Lactuca sativa (garden lettuce). The record is from RNAcentral. Lineage: Eukaryota; Viridiplantae; Streptophyta; Magnoliopsida; Asterales; Asteraceae.
UAACAACUAGAUAGAUACAUGCCUUCAUUUGUGUCAUCCACUUCUCAAAGCAUUUCAACCAGGAGUUGUGUCCACAUGGAGUCUGCAAGANAUAUAUAUUCUAAUCUAAUUGUCAUAUAACAAAAUGUAUCAAUUAAUCCAGAAUAUGUAUGACAUUACUUCUUAUUCUUUUGAAUAAUAAUUAACAGAUCAUGAAUGGAGAAUCCUUAGCUACAUGAGAUCACAAUCUCAGUUAAUAAACAGGAUCGAGUUUAUAAUCUUCAUCAUCAUCUGUACCACUUUAAUUUGAAGCAACAACAUAAAUUUGGAAAAUUUAUAACUUCUCAAAACGUUGAUCUCAAACUGUUUUCACCAUGAACAUUAGUCAUGGCAACAACUAUCACGUCAUCAUUUUUGGUCAGAAGAUUACUGAUAUAUGAAGUCUCACUUUCCUAAUGAGACACAAUGAUCGCCAUUUGUACAAAUUUAGGCUUGUUCAAACUUUCAAAUCCAUCUACAAAAUUGUCCUUAAAAAAAAUCAGAAAAGAAAAAAACACAAUAACACCAGUACGUUUCUAUCGUCUAUCAAUAUAAUGCAGCAGUCAAUAAUUUCAAACUUAAAUCAUCUAUGAUGUACAAAAUAGCAAUCGAUAAAUGCAAAUUCCGAACUCAAAGAAUGAAAUAAGGGUUCUUCAUCGCUCAAAAAAAAAUACAGAGAAUUAUACCUUUAGUUGCUGGAAUAAGGAUCAGUAAGGAGUAGCAUCAUCUUCAAAUCGAUGACUCUUCGGUAGAAACGAGAAAAUCGCUAGAAAAUAUGGCAAAUCGGCUAACGAAACUUGAUAUUCUAGAUAAAUACAUUUGAAGAAGCGUCCCACAUCGGAUUUGUGAUAAAAUAAAAAGGGAUUUAUUAACUAAACUGGAAGACAAUAUGACGUGUUCGUAAGAAGGAGAGAUGGUUGGCAUCUCCCCUGACAGGGACGGGAACAGCCUUCGGGCUUACCUGUUACCACACAUCCGGUUAAGGCUACCCACUUCGGUGGAUCUAUAACCCAAUUUUUUUUUCCCCCAAUUCUACUUUACUAAAUAAUCUUUUUGCUUUUAUAUACAACUCUUCUUUUUAACUUUACCUUUAUAUAACCGGUUUUUUAUUUCUUCUUUUGAACUUUACUAGUAACUAAAUUAAUUUUGUUUGGUUCUGAUGUAACCAGUAGAAUAUAAUAUUUGCU